RNAcentral lists this ribosomal RNA (1104 nucleotides) under Protoparmeliopsis achariana. Its description in RNAcentral is "SSU rRNA". It matches the Rfam family "Eukaryotic small subunit ribosomal RNA", at positions 155 to 1268 of the family's 1831-position model. Lineage: Eukaryota; Fungi; Ascomycota; Lecanoromycetes; Lecanorales; Lecanoraceae. The record is from RNAcentral.
AUUCUAGAGCUAAUACAUGCUAAAAACCUCGACUUCGGAAGGGGUGUAUUUAUUAGAUAAAAAACCAAUGCCCUUCGGGGCUCCUUGGUGAUUUAUAAUAACUCAACGAAUCGCAUGGCCUUGCGCCGGCGAUGGUUCAUUCAAAUUUCUGCCCUAUCAACUUUCGAUUGUAGCGUAGUGGGCUACAAUGGUUUCUACGGGUAACGGGGAAUUAGGGUUCGACUCCGGAGAGGGAGCCUGAGAAACGGCUACCACAUCCAAGGAAGGCAGCAGGCGCGCAAAUUACCCAAUCCCGACACGGGGAGGUAGUGACAAUACAUACUGAUGUGGAGCUCUUUAGGGUUUCACAAUCGGAAUGAGUACAAUUUAAAUCCCUUAACGAGGAACAAUUGGAGGGCAAGUCUGGUGCCAGCAGCCGCGGUAAUUCCAGCUCCAAUAGCGUAUAUUAAAGUUGUUGCAGUUAAAAAGCUCGUAGUUGAAAUUUGGGCCUGGCUGACCGGUCCGCCUCACCGCGUGUACUGGUUCGGCCGGGCCUUUCCUUCUGGGGAACCGCAUGGCCUUCAUUGGUCGUGUUGGGGAUCCAGGACUUUUACUUUGAAAAAAUUAGAGUGUUCAAAGCAGGCCUAUGCUCGAAUACAUUAGCAUGGAAUAAUAGAAUAGGACGUGUGGUUCUAUUUUGUUGGUUUCUAGGACCGCCGUAAUGAUUAAUAGGGAUAGUCGGGGGCAUCAGUAUUCAAUUGUCAGAGGUGAAAUUCUUGGAUUUAUGAAAGACUAACUUCUGCGAAAGCAUUUGCCAAGGAUGUUUUCAUUAAUCAAGAACGAAAGUUAGGGGAUCGAAGACGAUCAGAUACCGUCGUAGUCUUAACCAUAAACUAUGCCGACUAGGGAUCGGACGAUGUUUUUUUAUUGACUCGUUCGGCACCUUAUGAGAAAUCAAAGUUUUUGGGUUCCGGGGGGAGUAUGGUCGCAAGGCUGAAACUUAAAGGAAUUGACGGAAGGGCACCACCAGGAGUGGAGCCUGCGGCUUAAUUUGACUCAACACGGGGAAACUCACCAGGUCCAGACAUGGUAAGGAUUGACAGAUUGAGAGCUCUUUCUUGAUUC